This 465-nucleotide ribosomal RNA is filed under the name uncultured bacterium. RNAcentral describes it as "bacterial SSU rRNA". It matches the Rfam family "Bacterial small subunit ribosomal RNA", at positions 338 to 795 of the family's 1533-position model. The record is from RNAcentral.
CCUACGGGUUGCAGCAGCGGGGAAUAUUGGACAAUGGGCGCAAGCCUGACCCAGCAAUGCCGCGUGUGUGAAGAAGGCCUGCGGGUUGUAAAGCACUUUCAGUAGAGAAGAAAAGCCUAGGGCUAAUACCCCUGAGUCUUGACGUAACCUACAGAAGAAGCACCGGCUAACUCCGUGCCAGCAGCCGCGGUAAUACGGAGGGUGCGAGCGUUAAUCGGAAUUACUGGGCGUAAAGCGCGCGUAGGCGGUUUUGUAAGUCGGAUGUGAAAGCCCUGGGCUUAACCUGGGAAUUGCAUUCGAUACUGCUUAACUAGAGUACGGUAGAGGGAAGUGGAAUUUCCGGUGUAGCGGUGAAAUGCGUAGAUAUCGGAAGGAACACCAGUGGCGAAGGCGACUUCCUGGGCCAGUACUGACGCUGAGGUGCGAAAGCGUGGGGAGCAAACAGGAUUAGGUACCCGCGUAGUC